AGUGAACGCUGGCGGUAGGCCUAACACAUGCAAGUCGAACGGCAGCACAGUAAGAGCUUGCUCUUACGGGUGGCGAGUGGCGGACGGGUGAGGAAUACAUCGGAAUCUACUUUUUCGUGGGGGAUAGCGUAGGGAAACUUACGCUAAUACCGCAUACGACCUACGGGUGAAAGCAGGGGAUCUUCGGACCUUGCGCGAUUGAAUGAGUCGAUGUCGGAUUAGCUAGUUGGCGGGGUAAAGGCCCACCAAGGCGACGAUCCGUAGCUGGUCUGAGAGGAUGAUCGGCCACACUGGAACUGAGACACGGUCCAGACUCCUACGGGAGGCAGCAGUGGGGAAUAUUGGACAAUGGGCGCAAGCCUGAUCCAGCCAUACCGCGUGGGUGAAGAAGGCCUUCGGGUUGUAAAGCCCUUUUGUUGGGAAAGAAAAGCAGCAGGUUAAUACCCCGCUGUUCUGACGGUACCCAAAGAAUAAGCACCGGCUAACUUCGUG
Molecule: ribosomal RNA, 492 nt
Filed under: uncultured bacterium
Lineage: Bacteria
Description: partial 16S ribosomal RNA
Rfam family: Bacterial small subunit ribosomal RNA
Source: RNAcentral